AUUGAACGCUGGCGGCAGGCUUAACACAUGCAAGUCGAGCGGGGUGAUGGUGCUUGCACUAUCACUUAGCGGCGGACGGGUGAGUAAUGCUUAGGAAUCUGCCUAUUAGUGGGGGACAACAUCUCGAAAGGGAUGCUAAUACCGCAUACGUCCUACGGGAGAAAGCAGGGGAUCACUUGUGACCUUGCGCUAAUAGAUGAGCCUAAGUCGGAUUAGCUAUGUGGGGGGGUAAAGGCCUACCAAGGCGACGAUCUGUAGCGGGUCUGAGAGGAUGAUCCGCCACACUGGGACUGAGACCAGGCCCAGACUCCUACGGGAGGCAGAAGUGGGGAAUAUUGGACAAUGGGGGGGACCCUGAUCCAGCCAUGCCGCGUGUGUGAAGAAGGCCUUAUGGUUGUAAAGCACUUUAAGCGAGGAGGAGGCUCUUUUGGUUAAUACCCAAGAUGAGUGGACGUUACUCGCAGAAUAAGCACCGGCUAACUCUGUGCCAGCAGCCGCCGUAA
This 503-nucleotide ribosomal RNA is filed under the name uncultured bacterium. RNAcentral describes it as "partial 16S ribosomal RNA". It matches the Rfam family "Bacterial small subunit ribosomal RNA", at positions 30 to 523 of the family's 1533-position model. The record is from RNAcentral.